This 389-nucleotide ribosomal RNA is filed under the name uncultured bacterium. RNAcentral describes it as "bacterial SSU rRNA". It matches the Rfam family "Bacterial small subunit ribosomal RNA", at positions 29 to 421 of the family's 1533-position model. The record is from RNAcentral.
AUUGAACGCUGGCGGCAGGCCUAACACAUGCAAGUCGAACGGCAGCACGGGAGCAAUCCUGGUGGCGAGUGGCGAACGGGUGAGUAAUAUAUCGGAACGUGCCCAGUCGUGGGGAUAACGUAGCGAAAGCUACGCUAAUACCGCAUACGAUCUAUGGAUGAAAGCGGGGGAUCGCAAGACCUCGCGCGAUUGGAGCGGCCGAUAUCAGAUUAGGUAGUUGGUGAGGUAAAGGCUCACCAAGCCGACGAUCUGUAGCUGGUCUGAGAGGACGACCAGCCACACUGGGACUGAGACACGGCCCAGACUCCUACGGAGGCAGCAGUGGGGAAUUUUGGACAAUGGGCGCAAGCCUGAUCCAGCAAUGCCGCGUGCAGGAUGAAGGCCUUCGG